Xiphias gladius (swordfish) is the source of this 399-nucleotide long non-coding RNA. RefSeq lists it as uncharacterized. NCBI's taxonomy places the organism in Eukaryota, Metazoa, Chordata, Actinopteri, Istiophoriformes, Xiphiidae. The transcript is spliced from 2 exons. The record is from RefSeq and is a predicted model, not a curated record.
UCAAGGCCUCCUUAUGCAACUAUAAUGGAAGCAGAUGAGCCUGAGAAAACAGUGUGUGUUCCUUAGCCUCAGCACCAGUUAUUUGCUUAGCACACUUGACUCGAGCUGGAUAAGAAGCGUGAGUGUACAGCGAGGGUAUAGGUCACUGAUACUGUGUGCACACCAAGAUGCUGAAAAACUUUGGACCAUGUAUCUAGACUGUGGGCUGAGAGCAGCUGGGAGUGUCUCCUCUCCAGACAUGGAGCUCUGCCCUCCAGAGACACCAGCUGCUUCUUCUUCGCUGCAGCUGCUGCUUUGGCUCCUUUCGUUUCGUUUCGUUUUCACACUGUUUUAUCGUGACUUUAUCGUUGUGAGUGCAAUCGUGAUUUUAAAUGUGGUGUAGUACAAUACUUGAGAUUU